Molecule: ribosomal RNA, 393 nt
Filed under: uncultured bacterium
Lineage: Bacteria
Description: partial 16S ribosomal RNA
Rfam family: Bacterial small subunit ribosomal RNA
Source: RNAcentral
AUACGGAGGAUGCAAGCGUUAUCCGGAUUUAUUGGGUUUAAAGGGUGCGUAGGCGGGACUGUAAGUCAGGGGUGAAAUACUGCAGCUUAACUGUAGCAUUGCCUUUGCAACUGCCGUUCUUGAGUACAGUUGAGGUAGGCGGAAUUUGGUGUGUAACGGUUCAAUGCAUAGAUAUACCACAGAACGCCGAUUGCGAAGGCAGCUUACUAAGCUGUUACUGACGCUGAGGCACGAAAGCGUGGGGAUCAAACAGGAUUAGAUACCCUGGUAGUCCACGCUGUAAACGAUGAUUACUGGUUGUUAGCGAUAUAUAGCUAGUGACUGAGCGAAAGCAUUAAGUAAUCCACCUGGGGAGUACGUCGGCAACGAUGAAACUCAAAGGAAUUGACGGGG